RNAcentral lists this ribosomal RNA (161 nucleotides) under uncultured bacterium. RNAcentral's name for it is "partial 16S ribosomal RNA". It matches the Rfam family "Bacterial small subunit ribosomal RNA", at positions 355 to 508 of the family's 1533-position model. The record is from RNAcentral.
UGGGGAAUAUUGCACAAUGGGGGAACCCUGAUGCAGCCAUGCCGCGUGUGUGAAGAAGGCCUUCGGGUUGUAAGCACUUUCAGCGAGGAGGAAAGGUUGGCGCCUAAUAUGCUGUCAACUGUGACGUUACUCUGAGAAAAAAGCACCGGCUAACUCCGUGC